Molecule: non-coding RNA, 106 nt
Organism: Canis lupus familiaris (dog)
Lineage: Eukaryota; Metazoa; Chordata; Mammalia; Carnivora; Canidae
Source: Rfam
CUGCUCACUUACGCAGCACAUAUACUAAAAUUGGAACAGUACAGAGAAGAUUAGCAUGGCCUCUGCACAAGGGUGACAUGCAACUUGUGAAAUGUUUCAUAUUUCU